UACGUAGGGGGCAAGCGUUGUCCGGAAUCAUUGGGCGUAAAGAGCGCGUAGGCGGCUGGAUUAGUCCGGUGUGAAAUCCACAGGCUUAACCUGUGAAUGCCGCUGGAGACUGUCUGGCUAGAGUCCGGAAGGGGCGAGUGGAAUUCCUGGUGUAGCGGUGAAAUGCGCAGAUAUCAGGAGGAACACCAAUGGCGAAGGCAGCUCGCUGGGACGGUACUGACGCUGAGGCGCGAAAGCGUGGGGAGCAAACAGG
RNAcentral lists this ribosomal RNA (253 nucleotides) under uncultured bacterium. RNAcentral's name for it is "partial 16S ribosomal RNA". It matches the Rfam family "Bacterial small subunit ribosomal RNA", at positions 524 to 776 of the family's 1533-position model. The record is from RNAcentral.